This 83-nucleotide transfer RNA is filed under the name compost metagenome. Its description in RNAcentral is "tRNA-Gly". It matches the Rfam family "tRNA". From Rfam's summary of the family: Transfer RNA (tRNA) molecules are approximately 80 nucleotides in length. The record is from RNAcentral.
CACCGGUAUAGCUCAAUCGGCAGAGCGGGCAGGGCCCUUUUAACAGAGAGCAGAGAUUCAGGUUCGAAUCCUGAUGCCGGUGU